This 1253-nucleotide long non-coding RNA is filed under the name Dromaius novaehollandiae (emu). Its description in RNAcentral is "lncRNA (ENSDNVG00000013640.1)". Lineage: Eukaryota; Metazoa; Chordata; Aves; Casuariiformes; Dromaiidae. The record is from RNAcentral.
UCUAGUAGUGGGCAAUCUGUGUGUGAAAAGCAUGAUUAAGUCUAAGAUGAAAUACUUCUGUAUUGAGGUAAGUUUGGCAAAUUUUGGUGGCAUGCCAGCUGAAUGUUGGGGGUUGUUAACUUUUGUGUAUUCUUUGCAACUUCUCAGUAGAAUAAAGUUUAUGACAAGCAUAAACCACUUUUCAAGUAGGACAUGUUUACUUCUACUUUAGCAUAUAUCUGCUUUUCCAUUUAGUCAUCAUGAAGUUUAGUCAUGCUAUAUUCAUGUUCCAGGUUACAUGUGCUGUUCCUACAGACUAAGGACACAGUCGGUGGGAUUACAUUGGGCGUGCAGAUACAUCUGCCAGAAUUUCCAUGGAGCUGGAAUCCUCAGCUACACCAAUGUGGAAGAUUAUAAAUGUUAUACCAUCUUUGUAAAGGCUCCUUGGAAUGCAUUCUUCGAAACAAGAAUUGGAAAUACACCAGGUUCUUACCUGGUGUAAAUGGACCCAAAAGCCUUGUAUGGCUUUGUUGGACUUCAGAAGACCACCUCUUGUCCCAGUAAUUAAAUCUGACUUCAGAACUUAGCUUUUGGGUAUCUUCGAAUUUAUUCCUUAAAAUAGAAAUGCAGGUUGCUUCCAGCUCUUUCACUUCACUUUCCAUUUCACUGUCUUUGUAUCUCGUAUGAAUUUCUGUGUACUUCUUUUUUAAAUAGUUCUUUCAGUCUUAAAAAAAAAUUUGUAUUUCUAACAGCUACUGCAUUGUAUACUUCAUGGAAGCAGAAAUUUCUUCUCUGUUUCCCAGGUUAGUUUAUAUAAUUAUUAUAUUUGUAGCAAUGUCUAGGUAACGAAUGGAAUUCACCAUAGCAUUCUAGUUGCCAAGUCUGGAUGCAGUGUUUUCUGAAAUGUAAUGGCCUAUUAUUGUCACUCAUUAGCUGUUGGCAAAGGGUUGUGUUAAAGCUCUUAAACAAUAUGAAAAUGAUGGGUCAGUUUGAGGGUAACUCUCACUGUGUGAAACUUGCCCCACGUAUUCUGAUUAUACUUGCAAAAGGAGACUCCCUUCCACAAACUUAGCACUUCUUGUCCCCCAACCUUUGCGGCUUAAUGGAGGAGUGCAUUUUCUUUUCCUUGGAACAUGAUGGCUGCCUCUGUUACAGUGAUUAGGCUCUCUUCCUCUCUGUGCUCUCUUAAUUAACAUUUCUAAUAUGUCAUUUUAAUUGUACAUCUCUUCCUGCUUGCCUGGCUUCUCUUGUUAUUAUCAACCAAAAACAUCAAG